Molecule: ribosomal RNA, 353 nt
Filed under: uncultured bacterium
Lineage: Bacteria
Description: bacterial SSU rRNA
Rfam family: Bacterial small subunit ribosomal RNA
Source: RNAcentral
GGACCCGCACAAGCAGUGGAGCAUGUGGUUUAAUUCGAUGAUACGCGAGGAACCUUACCAGGGCUUAAAUGCAGAACGACAGAGGUGGAAACACCUCCUUCUUCGGACGGUCUGCAAGGUGCUGCAUGGUUGUCGUCAGCUCGUGCUGUGAAGUGUCGGGUUAAGUCCCAUAACGAGCGCAACCCCUAUUUCUAGUUGCCAGCGGUUCGGCCGGGGACUCUAGAGAAACUGCCAGCGUAAGCUGUGAGGAAGGUGGGGAUGACGUCAAAUCAUCACGGCCCUUACGUCCUGGGCUACACACGUGCUACAAUGGCAUCUACAGUGAGUUAAUCUCCAAAAGAUGUCUCAGUUCG